RNAcentral lists this long non-coding RNA (551 nucleotides) under Carica papaya (papaya). RNAcentral's name for it is "long non-coding RNA (CPAP_LNC011004)". The record is from RNAcentral. Lineage: Eukaryota; Viridiplantae; Streptophyta; Magnoliopsida; Brassicales; Caricaceae.
GUCCUGAUGGGCAAGAUCGGGCAGUCUUGGUUAGUUUGUCAACAAUGACCCAAAUAGCAUUAGGCUCAAGGCAUGAAUGACUACAUUCCCUCUAUUAGGAUAGUAGAUGAUCUUGCAGUCAUAGUCCUUCAAGAGGUCUAUCCAACAUCUCUGUCUCAUAUUCAACUCCCUCUACAAGAAGAUGUACUUUAAACUUUUGUGGUCAGUGUAAAUUAAAAGGUCUAACCAAAUAGGUAAUGGCGCCAUAUCUUCAAGGUAAAGAGGCUGUCAAGUCCAGAUCGUGAGUAUGGUAAUUCCACUAAUGGGGUUUCAACUGUAUGGAUCCAUAAAUGACCACUUUACAAUACUGCAUCGAAAUGCAUCCUAAAGUAAUAUGUGAUGUAUCGCAGUAGACCUAAAAUCUUACAGUGUUGUCAAGGAGGAUCAAUGUCAGGGUAAAGAUAAGAUGAUGUUUUAAAUGCAUAAAACCUUCACCACAUUCAUAAUCCUAGAUAAAAGUACACCUUUUCGACUGAAUCCAGUCAACAUAGCAAUAAUCUUGGAAAAUCUGU